CGCGUAGGUGGUAGUGCAAGUCUGGGGUGGAAUCCCAGGGCUUAACCCUGGAACUGCCUUGGAAACUGUAUUACUUGAGUCAGUGAGGGGAGGGUAGAAUUCCUGGUGUAGCGGUGAAAUGCGUAGAUAUCAGGAGGAAGGCCUGUGGCGAAGGCGGCCCCCUGGCGCUGAACUGACACUGAGGCGCGAAAGCGUGGGGAGCAAACAGGAUUAGAUACCCUGGUAGUCCACGCCCUAAACGGUGGGUACUAGGUGUAGGGCUCGUAAGGGUUCUGUGCCGAAGCGAAAGCAUUAAGUACCCCGCCUGGGGAGUACGGCCGCAAGGUUGAA
Molecule: ribosomal RNA, 330 nt
Filed under: uncultured bacterium
Lineage: Bacteria
Description: bacterial SSU rRNA
Rfam family: Bacterial small subunit ribosomal RNA
Source: RNAcentral